GUGCCAGCCGCCGCGGUAAUACAGAGGGGGCAAGCGUUAUUCGGAAUUAUUGGGCGUAAAGGGCGCGUAGGCGGCUUUUCAAGUGACGGGUGAAAUCCCCCGGCUUAACCGGGGAACCGCCUGUCAGACUGAAUGGCUUGAGACCAGGAGAGGUGAGUGGAAUUCCCAGUGUAGCGGUGAAAUGCGUAGAUAUUGGGAGGAACACCAGUGGCGAAGGCGGCUCACUGGACUGGUACUGACGCUGAUGCGCGAAAGCGUGGGGAGCAAACAGGAUUAGAUACCCUGGUAGUCC
Molecule: ribosomal RNA, 292 nt
Filed under: uncultured bacterium
Lineage: Bacteria
Description: partial 16S ribosomal RNA
Rfam family: Bacterial small subunit ribosomal RNA
Source: RNAcentral